RNAcentral lists this transfer RNA (65 nucleotides) under Volucella nigricans. Its description in RNAcentral is "tRNA-Cys". The record is from RNAcentral. Lineage: Eukaryota; Metazoa; Arthropoda; Insecta; Diptera; Syrphidae.
GGCUUUAUAGUCAAUAAUGAUAUUAGAGUGCAAUUCUAAAGGAAUAAUUAAAAUUAUUAAGGCUU